Lolium perenne is the source of this 1149-nucleotide non-coding RNA. Lineage: Eukaryota; Viridiplantae; Streptophyta; Magnoliopsida; Poales; Poaceae. The record is from RefSeq and is a predicted model, not a curated record.
CGUAACUUCCCACCCAAAUUCUUCUCCACCCACCUUAACCCUAGCAGCGCCGCCACGAAUCAAAGCAUCGAACAGCAAUCCGCCUCACUUCCUCUCCGGCCCCCUCGCCUUGGUCCUCUCUCCCAAUCUUCACUGCUCGGAUCGUGGCUCUCUACUAACUCUGUUUCUGUCUCCCUCAGAUCGAGCCAUUGGCGACUCAGGGCGAAACUCCGCACAGGGUGUGUCGUCCGUGCCGCAACUCCAGGCGGCCUAAGACUCCCGACGUUCAGGUUGACGAGCCAUGGUAUCUGACAUCCGGCUGCAUCUCUACAUUAUGCGCUCUACAAUACGGCCGCCCAGGACAAGUAGCAACUCACGGCUGAGCAACCUGUGAUGUGUCCUUGUUAUAUUAUUUUGAUAUGCUCAUAUUGGUGCACCUCGACUCUGGUUUUCGAAAAGGACAACUCAUAAAUUACUGAAUGUCUUUGAGCUUGUUGGUAAGCUAUAAUGCUCCCAUAUGUGUUCCUAUAAUUGUGUUAAUGUUCACUGAGCUGCUCCUGAGACAUAUGGGACUUCAGCUUGUGCCCAUUGAUAAUUUAGCUCUGUGGUAUUGUGACUGACCAUAGUGUAGAUCUAGUUAUUUAAAUGAUUCUAGUGUGCUGUUAAAUCAAUCCUUCCAUAUCUUUAUAAUAGUUACUUCUUUUUCUGUCUUUCCUUUGUCUUUUGAUCUGUGUAAUACCGACUUGAUAUGUAGGUGUCAUGGGCUGUUUAAAUGCUGAGGAUAUCACAAAUUAUAUUGCAGGACUUGUCUUUGGGUAUGCUACUGAGGUGUUUGAAGAAAUUCCAAGCAAUAUGUGGAUGUGAAUUUAAAGGCCCAAAAGAUCAGCAAGGACCGUCACAUUCAAAUGCUACAUUAGAAGGCAGAGCACAAGAAGGAAUACAAGGAAUAUGUAGGAUUAGUUAGAAUAUAAUAUUAUGAUGCAAGCUUGUAAGAUGUGUACUCUUAUGAUAAUUUUCAUGUAUGGAUGGUGAUUAUAAUUAUAACAUAUAAAUGUUUCUUUAUGCAAUGCUUUCAUGUUGUUGUAUGUACGUAUUAAUUAUAUAUUUUAUUGAUGAGGAAAACAAAUACUGCGAUAAUUGAAGCUACAAAGCCACCCAAUCCAGAAGAAG